AUGAAGGGGGAUGGGGCUGAAGCAAGGAUUGUUGGGGCUGUGCCAGGGGGAACAAUGGCAAGGCCGGGGGAUAAGGCAAUGGCCCAGCUGAAGUGCAUCUACAUUAAUGCAUGUGGCAUGGGUAACAAACAGGAGGAGCUGGAAGCCAUCGUGCAGCAGGCAGGCUACGACUUGGCUGCCAUCACGGAGACGUGGUGGGACCAGUCUCAUGACUGGAGUGCUGCGAUGUCUGGCUAUAAGCUCUUCAGAAGGGACAGGCAGCACAGAAGGGGUGGUGGUGUGGCUCUCUAUAUUAGAGAAUCUUUCGAUGUUGUGGAACUCAAGGCUGGGAAUGACAAGGUCGAGUCCCUGUGGGUUAGGAUCAGCAGAAAGGCCAACAAGACUAGCAUCCUGCUCAGGGUCUAUUAUAGACCGCCGAACCAGGAUGAGGAGACGGAUGAGGAGUUCUACAGGCAGCUGACAGAAGUUGCGAAAUUGUCAGCGCUUGUACUCGUGGGGGACUUCAACUUCCCUGACAUAUCCUGGAAGCACAACACAGCCCAGAGAAAGCAGUCUAGGAGGUUUCUGGAGAGCAUUUCAGGAACACAGCUGGUUAGUGAGCCUACCAGGGCCAGGAAGGGGACCAGUAAAACCGCUGUAUUGGACUUCCAGAGGGCUGACUUUGAGUUGCUCAGGACACUGGUUGGUAGAGUCCCUUGGGAGGCGGUUCUGAAGGGCAGAGGGGUCCAGGAGGGCUGGGCGCUCUUCAAGAGGGAAAUCUUCAUGGCGCAGGAACAGUCUGUCCCCACGUGCCCAAAGAUGAGCCAGCGUGGAAGAAGACCAGCCUGGCUCAACAGAGAAUUGCAACUUGAGCUUAGGAGAAAAAAGAGGGUUUAUAAUCUUUGGAAAAAAGGGCAGGCCACUGAGGAGGACUAUAAGGAUGUUGCAAGGCUGUGCAGGGACAAAAUUAGAAAGGCCAAAGCUCAUCUGGAGCUCAAUCUGGCUACUGCUGUUAAAGACAACAAAAAAUCUUUUUACAAAUACAUCAAUGCAAAACAGAGGACUAAGGAGAAUCUCCAGCCUUUACUGGAUGCGGGGGUAAACCUUGUUACAAAAGAUGAGGAAAAGGUGGAGGUCUUAAUGCCUUCUUUGCCUCAGUCUUUACCAGCAAUACUGGUUGUUCUCUGGAUACCCAGUACCCUGAGCUGGUGGAAGGGGAUGGGGAGCAGAAUGUGGCCCUCACUUUCCAUGAGGAAAUGGUUGGCGACCUGCUACAGCACUUGGAUGUGCGCAAGUUGA
This 1278-nucleotide long non-coding RNA is filed under the name Anas platyrhynchos platyrhynchos (common mallard). RNAcentral's name for it is "lncRNA (ENSAPLG00000019714.1)". The record is from RNAcentral. Lineage: Eukaryota; Metazoa; Chordata; Aves; Anseriformes; Anatidae.